UUUCCGGGCCCCGGAGCGGGCGGCGACCGGUGUGGGCCGAAAGGGGUGUGCGAGCGGUCCCGCGCAUGGCGUAC
RNAcentral lists this transfer RNA (74 nucleotides) under Streptomyces hygroscopicus subsp. jinggangensis TL01. RNAcentral describes it as "tRNA-Met". The record is from RNAcentral. Lineage: Bacteria; Bacillati; Actinomycetota; Actinomycetes; Kitasatosporales; Streptomycetaceae.